CCACGUAUCCUUGACCAUCUAGCGACCUCCACGGCACAAGUUAUGUUGUGUUAUCGACAAGUGAAUUCAUAGCUUGUCAGAAGGCAGACCCGGAGANCUAGNNACNUCCNNNGUACCCGGAGGAAGAGAAAGAAAAAUCGAUUCCCUGAGUAGCGGCGAGCGAAACGGGAAGAGCCCAAACCAACAAGCUUGCUUGUUGGGGUUGUAGGACACUCUAUACGGAGUUACAAAAGAACAUGUUAGACGAAUCAUCUGGAAAGAUGAAUCAAAGAAGGUAAUAAUCCUGUAGUCGAAAACAUAUUCUCUCUUGAGUGGAUCCUGAGUACGACGGAGCACGUGAAAUUCCGUCGGAAUCUGGGAGGACCAUCUCCUAAGGCUAAAUACUCUCUAGUGACCGAUAGUGAACCAGUACCGUGAGGGAAAGGUGAAAAGUACCCCGGAAGGGGAGUGAAAGAGAACUUGAAACCGUGUGCUUACAAGUAGUCAGAGCCCGUUAAUGGGUGAUGGCGUGCCUUUUGUAGAAUGAACCGGCGAGUUACGAUCUGAUGCAAGGUUAAGCAGCAAAUGUGGAGCCGCAGCGAAAGCGAGUCUGAAUAGGGCGUUGAGUAUUUGGUCGUAGACCCGAAACCAGGUGAUCUACCCUUGGUCAGGUUGAAGUUCAGGUAACACUGAAUGGAGGACCGAACCGACUUACGUUGAAAAGUGAGCGGAUGAACUGAGGGUAGCGGAGAAAUUCCAAUCGAACUUGGAGAUAGCUGGUUCUCUCCGAAAUAGCUUUAGGGCUAGCCUCAAGUGAUGAUUAUUGGAGGUAGAGCACUGUUUGGACGAGGGGCCCCUCUCGGGUUACCGAAUUCAGACAAACUCCGAAUGCCAAUUAAUUUAACUUGGGAGUCAGAACAUGGGUGAUAAGGUCCGUGUUCGAAAGGGAAACAGCCCAGACCACCAGCUAAGGUCCCAAAAUAUAUGUUAAGUGGAAAAGGAUGUGGCGUUGCAUAGACAACUAGGAUGUUGGCUUAGAAGCAGCCAUCAUUUAAAGAGUGCGUAAUAGCUCACUAGUCGAGUGACACUGCGCCGAAAAUGUACCGGGGCUAAACAUAUUACCGAAGCUGUGGAUUGUCCUUUGGACAAUGGUAGGAGAGCGUUCUAAGGGCGUCGAAGCAUGAUCGCAAGGACAUGUGGAGCGCUUAGAAGUGAGAAUGCCGGUGUGAGUAGCGAAAGACGGGUGAGAAUCCCGUCCACCGAUUGACUAAGGUUUCCAGAGGAAGGCUCGUCCGCUCUGGGUUAGUCGGGUCCUAAGCUGAGGCCGACAGGCGUAGGCGAUGGAUAACAGGUUGAUAUUCCUGUACCACCUAGUAUCGUUUUAAUCGAUGGGGGGACGCAGUAGGAUAGGCGAAGCGUGCUGUUGGAGUGCACGUCCAAGCAGUAAGGNUGAGUGUUAGGCAAAUCCGGCACUCAUAAGGCUGAGCUGUGAUGGGGAGAGGAAAUUGUUUCCUCGAGUCGUUGAUUUCACACUGCCGAGAAAAGCCUCUAGAUAGAUAACAGGUGCCCGUACCGCAAACCGACACAGGUAGUCGAGNNGAGAANNCUAAGGUGAGCGAGAGAACUCUCGUUAAGGAACUCGGCAAAAUGACCCCGUAACUUCGGGAGAAGGGGUGCUCUUUAGGGUUUACGCCCAGAAGAGCCGCAGUGAAUAGGCCCAAGCGACUGUUUAUCAAAAACACAGGUCUCUGCUAAACCGUAAGGUGAUGUAUAGGGGCUGACGCCUGCCUGGUGCUGGAAGGUUAAGAGGAGUGGUUAGCUUCUGCGAAGCUACGAAUCGAAGCCCCAGUAAACGGCGGCCGUAACAAUAACGGUCCUAAGGUAGCGAAAUUCCUUGUCGGGUAAGUUCCGACCUGCACGAAUGGCGUAAUGAUGGCCAGGCUG
RNAcentral lists this ribosomal RNA (1923 nucleotides) under insect metagenome. RNAcentral's name for it is "bacterial LSU rRNA". It matches the Rfam family "Bacterial large subunit ribosomal RNA", at positions 97 to 2018 of the family's 2925-position model. The record is from RNAcentral.